This 72-nucleotide transfer RNA is filed under the name Camelus bactrianus (Bactrian camel). It matches the Rfam family "tRNA". Rfam says of the family: Transfer RNA (tRNA) molecules are approximately 80 nucleotides in length. RNAcentral also lists the same sequence under 2 other names. Lineage: Eukaryota; Metazoa; Chordata; Mammalia; Artiodactyla; Camelidae. The record is from Rfam by way of RNAcentral.
GAGGGUAUAGCUCAGUGGGAGAGUUUGUGCUUAGCAUGCACAAGGUCAUGGGUUCAAUCCUCAGUACCUCCA